UUUUUUUUUCACCUGAGUGUCUCCUUUACUACUCACACAGGAUACUUCAUUUCUGAUACUCUCUUUACCUAAUGUGUGGAGGUUUUUCUCACACCAAGUAAUUCUCGGACACCUGUGAGGUGUCCAAAGACUCAACUCAGUUCUGACACUAUCUACCUGGAGAUAGCAUCAGAACCUCCAGGUACAGGCUCAGUCCUCCACAAGACUGGACUCCUCACACACACAAAUUUCAGAGGCCAGUCCCACACCCAGUUUAUCACUUGUGCUUCUGACCAAUCAGCUUAGAUUGGAGGUUCCAAUGACCCCUCCUGUGUUUGAUUAAUUUGUUAGAGCAGCUCACAAAACUCAGGGUAACAGUUAUUUAAAUUUACCAGCUUAUUAAAGGAUAUAAUAAAGCAUGCAGAUGAAUAGUCAGACAAAGAGGUAACAUAGAGCAAGUUUUGGGAGGGUCUAAAGGUCAGGAACUUCUGGCCCUGUGAAGUCGGGGUGCAUUAUCCUCUCGGUAUGGAUGUAUUCAACCAACUUGGAAGCUCUGUGAACCCUGUAUUAUGGGGAUAUUAUGGAAGCCUCCUUACAUAAAUGUGAUCAAUUAUUAAUUCCUUUCCAGCCUCUCUCCCCGCUCUGAAAGAUAGGGAAUGAAGAUGAAAAUUCCAAGCUUCUAAUCAUGGCUUAUACUCUCUAGUGACCAGCACUCACCCAGGAGCCAUUCAGGAGCCCACCUAGAGUCAUCACAUUAGAUUAAAAGAUAUUCCUGGUUCUCUUAUCACUUAGGAACUUACAAGGUUUAUAUGAGCUCUUAUCAGGGAUAGAGUCAAAAACAAAUAGAACAAGAGAUGUUCCCUGUGUUUUUAUCACUUAGGAAAUUACAAGGAUUUUAUAGGAGCUCUGUGCCAGAAACUGAGGUCAGAUAUCCAUGGAUAUUUUUUAUUAUUUCACAGGGCUAUGCAAAUGAUUUACUAAUUUCAAGAGGCAACAGGCAGGCGGAAAAAUAGGAUUUAUAGAACACAGACUUGGGCUUAAUUCUUGGGUCAAUCCCUACCAGUUUUGUGACAUUGACAGUUUAUUAACCUCUUUAAGCACUUGAUCUCUCAUCUAUAAAAUGGAGAUUUUAAUACAUACUCUGCAAGGUAUUAAAAAAAUACAAUGAAAUGACCUAAGUACAUAAUACAAUUCUUGGAACAUAAAAGAUUUUCAAAAAUAUGUUUAGUUCCCUAUUCCCACUAAUCAUUUUAUACAUGAUGCUUACAGUUUGUAUGCUUCAUCAUCACGCAGUACAAGAAUAUCUCAGAAUACCUUCAGUACUCUCACUGGGCUAAGUUAGAUUAUUUUGUUCAUAAUAUGCCUGGAAUUCUUUUCACAUAUGUAAAGAUUUUAGAGUUGGCUGCUAACAUGCUGUUAAUGCUAGAUCAUAACUUUAAACUACUUAAAGAGAGAGUUUAUGGACAUGAAAGGAAAACUCAUGGCAGGGCAAUGGCAGAAGGUACCUGGAGGCUCAAAAACUCUGUGACAGCUUCCCCAACCCCCACCAAGCUGGGCAGCGAAGGCCUAAUUCAUCCAUGCUUUGGGUCAGCUCUGGCACUAAGUAUCCAUGAAAAGGGACAGAUACCAAUGAGCAAAACUAUCAAUUGAAUGUGAAGUCUCAUGUUUCAGAACACAGACUGUUUUUAAGGCUUUGUUAGAAGGAUGCUUCCUUAAAUUUAUGAAAUGGCAAGAGAAUUUGCUUCUUCUUAGCUUACUUAGUAAGAGUGUCCAAAAUUUCUCUCCCUUAAACAACUAUGAAGAAUUUGUUGUUCUACUCUGUAGGUAAGAGAAUUAGUAGCAAGCUGAGUGAUUUAGAUUCUUAUGUAGAAAAUUCAAGAUUCAAUUGUCAAUCAUAGUAUUUGUUGAAACGCCAGCUGUUGCGAGAUGGAAAUGCUUAGUACUCUGUGACAGUGAAUGCACUCCUAAUAUCACCAAUGCUUUCUCUAUCCUUCUCUUUCCUUCCCAUCCUUCUGCUUUCCUUCUUUCCCUCAAACAUGAGAGGAAACCAUUGAGCAGAUUCUGGAACACGGCAAUAGUUCAUGACCACCACUCCUCUCUUUCCACUUCAGCAGGAUGGCUACACAGUCUUCAUUCUCCCCACUUUCUUUUUUGUGCCUUCGUAUUUUUUUCUGAUACAGAAGGAACAUAAAUAAGAGUUUGCUUGACCCAGGAGAGAAAUGCUCUGAUUCCUACCAUCCAGGGAGAUUCCAAGAGAUGUCCAGAAGAGAAGAGCUGCUUGAUGCUACUAGAUAGAUGAGGCCAUAGAUAGCCUCAGAAUUGCCAGAGUAUAGUGAAGAGAACUUAGGGAGGUCCUGUGACCCCCAUACAUGCUAUUUAUGCCUUCUGACCCUCUUCCUUUGAGUGGGGCCAGGGAGUAUGACUUGCUUCUGGCCAUUGAUACAGCAAAGGUGAUGGAAUGUCACUUUCAUAAUAACAUAAGAUUAAAACUAACAUCUUGUUAAGAGACUCUUUGCCUUGCUGGCUGUGAAGAAGCAAGGGGCCAUGUCUAAAGGCCUACUUUCAGUUGCUACAAGUAGCCUCCAAGAUGACAGUCAGUAAAACUGUCCAACAGUCACAAGGACAUGAAUGCUAUUAACAACCAAGUAAGCUUGGAAGUGGCUCCUUUUCUAGCUGAGCCUUGGCUUAGAUUACAGCCCUGGCUGACAAAUUGUGAGACUGGUAAACCCAAAUAAUGGGGCAAAACUCCUGAUUUAUGAUGGAAAACUUGACAUAAUAAACAUGUGUUGUUGUUUUAAGCCACAAAUUUGUAGCAACACUACAGCAAUAUAAUAUAGAGAACGCAAAUAGGAGGAAGUACUAAGACAGGGAGAAGAGACAAAAACGUCAGCUACAACUGGCUACCGAGAAGUAAGUAGGACCGAAGAUAUUUUGCAGUCAGUGAUCCCUUGCAAGGCUCUGAAAUGGAGUUUAGUGUGCAGGAAGUUCAUUAGGAAGCACCCUUGGGAUCAACACCUGUAGAAGGGAGGCAGAAGAACCAGUUAGUACAGAGGGAGAGAUGGAUUUGGGACACGGGAAUAAUCAACCAACCUGAGACACACUGGAACUGGAAAGGCCUUUCAGAGUUACCAUUCACUGGAUGAGAUGUCUGAGGCUUUAUAUCCCCACAGUGAACUGUCACUGAAUAUGUGUAGCCCUAGGAAGGUCAUAACCUUGAGUAAUGUGGUAUCAUGUGAAAGCUAUCUUCUGUAAUCUCAGCAAGUGAGGCUACAUGCCCUUCAUUAAAGAGAGAUCUGGGGCUGGCAUCACCAUAUCCAUUACAGAUGUGCAACUGGAUAGACUAGACUGGUGACCAAAGCAUAGGUUACUCUGUACCUUGCCAGAACCACAGAAGCUCCCUGUAAAUCUGACACUGCUUUGAGAGUGGAGUGAUCUCAAAUUGAUCGUUAACUGUCUGUCACCAAGUUAGAAUACAAAAAUCAAAAUAAAAACCAAAUUGAGUUAUAGAAAAAUUGUCAUAUUCUCUGUUGUAAGAGCUAUUAUAAUUAUACCAAGAGCAUAAGAAUAGAGGUAUGUUUCAAGUAGAAAAACCAAGGAAGAUUUCAUAUAUGAGAAGAAACUGAUGGUACUCUCAAAAAAAAAUAGAGAUUGAAAAAAAAAUCUAAUGAACAGACUAGUGCAAAUGUACAGGCAGGGUUAGAGGGAUAAAUAAGGGAUGGUAAAGCAUUCUGGGGCCAACAAGAGCAUGAUGUCCCUACCUUUCUUAGAUUGUUAGGGUCAAGGUCAGAGAAACAUAACUGUAACUCAAACAAAGGGUUAUUACAGUAGGGAACUUGUGGUUUUAGAAAGAGGAUCAUAGACACUGCCAAAACAAAACUCUUUAUCUUUCCCUCUGCAGUCUCAGAUCUGCCAAUACCUCCCACUGGCUAACCCCGUGGGAAGCCAGAGGGUGGGAUCCCUGAGUGGCUCAGUGGUUUAGUGCCUGCCUUCAGCCCAGGGCAUGAUCCUGGAGACCCGCGAUCGAGUCCCAUGUCCGCUCCCUGCGUGGAGCCUGCUUCUCCCUCUUCCUGUGUCUCUACCUCUCUCUCUCUCUCUCUCUCUCUGUGUGUGUGUGUGUCUCAUGAAUAAAUGAAUAAAAUCUUAAAAAAAAAAAAAGAAGAAGAAGAAGAAGCCAGAGGGCAAGGAGUCCAGGAGAUGCAGCCCAAAGUAGUUAGCCACCCAGCUCAUUGAGCAGAAGAAAAGGUAGGUCUGGGAGUGCUAGAAAAUUCCAUCAUGGGUGGGAAGUGAAGGUGAAAACCUUAAACUAAGGAAAUAGGAUGAAUAAGGGAGAGAAAUAGAAAAUUCCAAAACCUGUUUAAACAACACUCAGUAGUCCAAUGUGUUCAGAGUAUAAGCACCCUAAGGUGGUAGUUUGAGAUGGAACAGACUUGGUUCAGAAAGGAAGAAUGGGGAAGGGAUUGAAAGUAUUCUGUCCAGAGGUUCUCAUCAGGAAAUUCAGCAGAUCCUGGUUUUCCAGUAGACCCUGGCAAAAUAGGAGAGCAUUGAUUCUGUGUUAUAAUCCAACAGUUUUAUCCCCUGUAUUUACUUUAAGGAGUCAGACUGGAGAAUGUGUUUAUGGGCUGGUGGUUUUUCUGGCUAUGUAAUAGUGAGUCAUGUUAUAACAAGUUUGUAUUUAUUUUCAUCUGGCUAUACCCAUCAAGGUCUAGUUACUCAGUUGCUUCAUUUUUUUCAUUAGAGAACAGCCUGCUAAGAUCCUUAAUCAUUGUUCUUGAUCACUCUGAUUUUCCCUCAGUGUUGAGGGACUGAAGAAGCCCUGUUAAAUGGAAUAUGCCAGGUGCAUUCACAUCACUGUCACGUGGGAAAAAUCUCUUGUGUGGUGUAAAAUCACACAGGCAUGUGUUGCAGCUAAUUAAUUGGAUGACAACCAAUCUCUCAAGUCUUUUCCAACAUUAUUGCUUUCCCGGCUUUUCACACCCAUCAUGUCAACACAUGUUUCCCCAGUCUGUUAGCUUAUCCUUUUGCUAGCAAUCUAACACUAAUUUACCAACAGAUUGUUUAACCUUUCUUCAUUCUUUUUGGUUGUUUUGCCUUCUUCGAUAUUUGUAACAUCUCUUGGGGAAAUAUCUCCUUGGAAUUCUAUUGACAUAUAACUUCCUCCAUCAUCUGGAAGAAUUUACCAUUGCACAGCAAGUUACAUUUUAAAAUGGUUAUAUUUUUCUCCAGAAACAUGCCAUUUCAUUUUUUUAUAGUUUCCUCUCUUCAAGUUGGGAAAUUACCUAUAUUGAGCAAUUAUUUGGUGCCAAGUACUCUACCAAACAUAAUGCUAUGUGAUUUCAUUUGUUAAAUUGCUCCUCAUGAUGACAGCAUCUUAUCACUCCUUUUCAUGCAACAUAUGGUUCAAAGUGAUCACGUAAUUUGUACAUCACAUAACCAAAAUGUUUCAGAGCUAGGUUUAGAGACUCAAGUCUCCUUGACACCAGAAACUAUAACCUUUCCCUGUGCUCAAAGUACAAAGCCCUCUACCAUUCUCCUUUGUUCUCAACAGGUGGCCAAUAUGGUUAUUCUUAGAAAAAUAUAAAAUCAUAUGAGCCACUAACUUUUCAAUGUGGCUAAAUUAGUGUUAACUCUUCCAAAAGUAUUUACAUUUUAUGAGAAGUAUUACGAAGAGAAUUCCAAGAAAUGACUCUAAGAAUGGUUUUCAGGAUUGCAAUUGGCUGUAGCGGUUACUUUUGGAUAAAGAAGUCUUUGGCAGCAUUCAAAAUUUAGUAGGCAGCUCUCUCAAUCUCCCCUAUUAGGCUAAUUUGUUUCAUCAGUAAGAGUUGACAAAGACUGAUCAUUUUGUUUUACACAGCAAGGUAACAUUUUUACCUUCCUGAACAGGAUAUCAUUCAGCUCUCAAUUUUUCACCAUUGUAUUGAUUGAAUGCUGAAAUUCAGUGCCGUGACCUACCAGCAGCAGCAGCAGCAGCCACAGUCCCAUCUCCUUAUACACACAGCAACAUUUAACUUGAGAGGUUCUAUAUUGUAAAAAUGCUUGGUUGUCUUCAUGGAACCUUCAGAGGCUCAAGAUUAAGACUGUGAUUCUUAGCAUCUUUGGCCUGGAAGAAACUCCCAUUUACUGUAGAGAUUUCUUUUCAUAUACCUCUAGCCAGGAACAUCUCUACACUGGAUAAUGGUGCCUCAUUGACCCUUUAGGGUCAUCUGAACAUCUGAAGAUGUCCUUGGAGGGGACAUAUUUAUUGGGAAUCCCUUAGAAAUUUUUUUUCUUUUUCUUUUGAGCUUCAGAACUUAAGUGAUCCACUAUGAAAGGAAAAAAAAAAAAAAA
RNAcentral lists this long non-coding RNA (6303 nucleotides) under Canis lupus familiaris (dog). RNAcentral's name for it is "lncRNA (ENSCAFG00000056829.1)". Lineage: Eukaryota; Metazoa; Chordata; Mammalia; Carnivora; Canidae. The record is from RNAcentral.